GUUAUCCAAAUUGGAUUAUCUAGUUCCUUUAUUUUUUCAUUUCUAAUCAAUGACUUUUGCCAUCUAUCACAAUCUGGAACAUGGCACCAUACAAUUGCUCCAACUAUGAACAUCACUAAUUCAAGUUCCUCACUGCCAUCACUAGGUUUUCUAGUUGACAUUCAUGGACAUCAUUGUGCCCUUUGAGCUUUCAGUUCAUUGACUCUUCCAUUUUCCUCUGGCCUUUUUACUGCCUUUUUCCUCUUUUCAGGUAUUAUUACACAAUCCAGGAAUUACUUUGAUAAAACCAUGACCAAUGAGUGAGAAUAUGCGGUGUUUGGUUUUUUGUUCUUGUGAUAGUUUACUGAGAAUGAUGAUUUCCAAUUUCAUCCACGUCCCUACAAAGGACAUGAACUCAUCAUUUUUUAUGGCUGCAUAGUAU
This 421-nucleotide long non-coding RNA is filed under the name Pan troglodytes (chimpanzee). RNAcentral's name for it is "long non-coding RNA NONPTRT011495". Lineage: Eukaryota; Metazoa; Chordata; Mammalia; Primates; Hominidae. The record is from RNAcentral.